CCUACGGGUGGCUGCAGUGGGGAAUAUUGGACAAUGGGGGCAACCCUGAUCCAGCCAUGCCGCGUGUGUGAAGAAGGCCCUCGGGUUGUAAAGCACUUUCAGUGAGGAAGAACGCCUGGUGGUUAAUACCCAUCAGGAAAGACAUCACUCACAGAAGAAGCACCGGCUAACUCCGUGCCAGCAGCCGCGGUAAUACGGAGGGUGCGAGCGUUAAUCGGAAUUACUGGGCGUAAAGCGCGCGUAGGUGGCUUGAUAAGCCGGUUGUGAAAGCCCCGGGCUCAACCUGGGAACGGCAUCCGGAACUGGCAAGCUAGAGUGCAGGAGAGGAAGGUAGAAUUCCCGGUGUAGCGGUGAAAUGCGUAGAGAUCGGGAGGAAUACCAGUGGCGAAGGCGGCCUUCUGGACUGACACUGACACUGAGGUGCGAAAGCGUGGGUAGCAAACAGGAUUAGAUACCCUGGUAGUC
RNAcentral lists this ribosomal RNA (465 nucleotides) under Vreelandella stevensii. RNAcentral's name for it is "partial 16S ribosomal RNA". It matches the Rfam family "Bacterial small subunit ribosomal RNA", at positions 338 to 795 of the family's 1533-position model. The record is from RNAcentral. Lineage: Bacteria; Pseudomonadati; Pseudomonadota; Gammaproteobacteria; Oceanospirillales; Halomonadaceae.